Molecule: RNA transcript, 2138 nt
Organism: Musa acuminata AAA Group (dessert banana)
Lineage: Eukaryota; Viridiplantae; Streptophyta; Magnoliopsida; Zingiberales; Musaceae
Gene name: UPF0496 protein 4-like
Exons: 4
Source: RefSeq, a predicted model, not a curated record
UUGGUCUGCUCGGGCUUUCCUCGCACUUCACGCUUUGCUUUCCUCCUCUUUCCCUUCUUUCCCUCCUCGGGACUCUCUCUCUCUCUCUCUCUCUCUCUCGUGUUGCUUCGUCUCCUCGAUCUCAUCUCUUUGAAGGCUCGUCGUCGUUUACUUUCCUCGUUGAAUCUUUCUUGCACGCGGGGUUCUGGAUUUUGAUUCGUUCAAAGUCGUCUUCUUCUGAGGACCUAUGGUUCCUGUGUACCUGAACGGAAACGCGCGAUCGGCCUCUAUAAAGAUCGAGAUGCCAGUGCUUGGUGUCGUCGGCUUCCCGAUCUCUGUCUCCACGCCUUUUUUCAGGAGUUCCCUGCUGAACUGCGGGGUUGAUUUUUACCCCCUUGACCAUAAUUUCCCCUGAUAUUACUACAUACCUCGUGAUCUAGAUAGAUAGAGAGAAGUUCAAUAAUUAAAAAUAUGAGCCGACCACAUGAUGGACUGUGCAUCUUAUUUCACUUUGGAAAUCAUUCUCGGGUUACUGGUCACAAAGGCUCAUCGAAGCUUCUUGCUUUACUGAGUCAUUUCGAGCGAAACCUUGCAGAAAAAAUGAGAAAACUCCACGCAGAAGUAAUCUCAGAUGUCUUUUCUUUAUCUUGGAUAAAACAUGCUGUUAAAUCAUUAUCGGAUGUCCACGCCGACAUUAAAACAUUAAUAAUGGAACUUCAAUUCCCUGUUUCUGACUGGGAUGAGAGAUGGAUUCAAGAAUACUUUGAGAACAGUUUGAAGAUGCUUGACAUUUGCAAUGCAUUAAGUGCUGAGCUUACCCGAUUAGAUCAAGGCCAGCUUUUGCUUCGAUAUGUGCUGCGCAUCCUGGAUAUCUCAUCUAGUUUUCCUUCAUCUGAACAAUUGAGAAGAGCUCAUGUAUCUCUUGAUGAUUGGCUGAAGCAGGCUAACUCUUCGAGUCCUAAACUAGAAAAGUGUCAUGCUAUCUUGCAGAUCGUUCAUGACACCCUUUGUUUGCCAAAGAUAAAAUAUUCUGCCAAAGGGAGGGUGCUAAUGAGAGCCUUUUAUGGAGUUGAGGUCAUGACUCUAUUCACUUGCAAUAUCAUCAUAACAGCACUGACAGGCUGCUCAAAGCCCUUGAUGGACUUGCAUAUUGUUGAUGAGUUCUUAUGGCUCGAGGCAUUCAACAAUUUGCAAGCUUUCUUGAAUGAGGAAAUCAGAGGACAGUUGCUGAGUGGAAAAGUAAUGACGCUAAAAGAAAUAAAAGCACUCAAAAUGAGUGCUCUGAUGUUCCGUUCCUUAACUAACAGAAUUGAUUAUGGGGAAGAACCAGCACAGCUAAGCAUGGAUGUUAAGAAGGAUGAGUCGAACUCACCAAAGGAGUAUGCUGACCCUGAAAAGAGACGAAGGCUGCAAGAAUGCAUGACACAUUUGACCGAUGGAGGAGAGGUGUUUGGCCGUGAGCUAGAUUCUCUGUCAAAACAAGUAAAUGACUUUUUUCACAUUUUACUAACUGGACGUGAUGCCUUACUUUGUAAUCUUAGGGCAUCCGGUAUAUCCAAAGAGCAGUAGCAUUGAAGAGAUGCUCAUGAAGGCAGCCUUGUAUGAUUUGUUGGUCAGGACACAGUCAAACCAUAUGAAGCUUGCCUUGGUUGUUCCUGUGAAGCCUGUUGGGUUUGCAUUGAUCUCAUGCCUCUUCAUCGAGGAACCGAUGCAUGAAUCAGGAGCCUCUCAUGCAGUACAACGUCAAGACUUCUCAUGAAAGGUAUAUGUCAACCUUAUGAAGCUAUCGACUUGUUUGGCUUGGGUGACAUUCUUCAUUUCAGUCAAAGUCUAGAUGGAGCCCUCGAGCAUUACAUGGUCUAAAAACCAUUAUUUUCACGAGGACUAAUAAUGGAUCUUAUCCCCUGUUCUCCAGAAGAGCUUCUGCUGUUCUUUGGUCAGAGAUGGUGGGUUUCACAUUGUGGAAAUGUGGCUUAGAAUAUGACUUGAAAGAUUCUGUAGGCCCUACAAACACUAGUUAGUCUGGCCAUUUCUGUUGGUUGUCUGGUUUGUGCUAUGCAAUCCGGAUUAAUUGUUUGUACGGUGGAUGAGUUCAGUUCAGAUUGGAUUUUAGGUGAUAUAUAAAGAGUUUAAGAUAGCAUUGUCAAAAUAACUAAGAA